Molecule: transfer RNA, 75 nt
Filed under: Phycisphaerales bacterium
Lineage: Bacteria; Pseudomonadati; Planctomycetota; Phycisphaerae; Phycisphaerales
Description: tRNA-Pro
Rfam family: tRNA
About the family: Transfer RNA (tRNA) molecules are approximately 80 nucleotides in length. Their secondary structure includes four short double-helical elements and three loops (D, anti-codon, and T loops).
Source: RNAcentral
CGGGCUGUAGCGCAGCUUGGUUAGCGCGCCUGACUGGGGGUCAGGAGGUCGACGGUUCAAAUCCGUCCAGCCCGA